UACGAAGCGGCUGCGCGCGAGUGUUGCAACCAACAUGCAUAUGCAGGCUACGAGCUGAUGUCUGUAUGCAGGUCGCACUGAGAGACUGUAAACUGCCUUGACUUUUUCUCACAUUCUCUCUCAUGUUUCGAAUCUCGAUUGCCAUGCAAAGCGUGUAGCUAUAGAUUAACUUCUAACGAUAGUGGUGGGCAGCUAUUAAUAUCAUCUUGUGGUAUUUGAUCAAGUGUAAUAUCAUCUAGUCUAAAGCACUAAAGCUACUAAUAAAGCGAUAAUUCGAGUAAAAUAAGUUUGUUAUAACGAAGGCUCAUUGCACUUGGAAACAGGCGCUUCGAGCGCAGCAGCUGCAUGCCUACAGUUUUUUCUAAGGUCAGAUCCGUCCGCAUCUCACAGCUGUGACUCCUCCUUCCAUACACACAAUGUCGACAUCACACUAUGGACCUCUACAACGGCUACCUAUACAUACCUUCACACUUGUCUCUGCCGUCACAAUUUUCGUGGCAGGCCCGAAGGCUCCCCUUUUGCAUACGAUUCGCAGACAAACUAGUCACGAACUCAAGAUAUACGAAGAUCUCUCGCCAUAGACACCGUCCGCGACGCUCGCGUUCUCACCUGUAACGAUGUUGUAGACUGUGUAAAGUUGCCACAGUUAAUGAACCUGCUUUUAUGCUCCUAAACCCACCAUGGAGACUAAUUUUGUCAGGAAUUAUGUCAUGCUAUACAGCGCUAGUUAACAAUGGCUGCCGAGAAAUCGGACGUUGGUGACUUGUCGAAUCUAGUAACCGUCCAAAUUCAGCUUCAAGUGUGUAGAUUCAAGCGUGUAGACCACAGGCUAUUCUGGUGCCGCGCUGUUGACCACGUUGUGGCGUCAUCGUCACAGAGGCUGUACACGUGCUCAAGCGAGUCGCUGGCAUAUGAUGGGGCUAGGACUACAUACAGCGUUGGUUACCAGUCGGAUCCUAUACCAGCUACCUCUGAUGUCACCCUCAGAUAGUCAAUACGAGCGCUUAUAGAAGCCAUACACAGAGAAGGUUGUCGACUGUGCCUGGUAGUCCCUCAGCUGGCCUAGAACGAAAAAAGUGCUCUACGAAGCUGAGCCACGCCCUCUACGACUUCAGGCUUCCCAGAUUCUCAUGACCCAGCUACUACGGUUGAGUGAGUCUUCACCAGGCAAACCCCUCUUAAGACAUAUAGGUAACAGGGCGCGCUCACAUUUUUAUGCAGCACUAACACGCUUCGAGUCUUAGGAUUGCACUGCUCGAAACAGAAGGAAAAGGUAGACCCGCCCUGGACAUUCGAAGAUAUCACAUAUCACAUAAGUGUACCAGAAUUGCAUUCAAAGAGCUACAUUCCUUAGUAACGUCUGCUGUCGGGGCUAGUUGGUACAUGACUAGAAAUGGUUUUAGACGCGAAAUUUUAGACACGGAGGACAGAGUCCGUGUCUUUUAUUCUGUCGUGCGUGUCUAAAUUUUUGCGCCUAAAACCAUUUCUAGUUACAUUACAUCAGCAGAAGCUGAGUCACUAUAGUUCUAGAACAUUUGAACACGACCUACCCGAAUCACCUACAAGUAAACACAGAUGGCCCUGUCAGAGUAGACGAAGACGGAUGCGCAGCUGUAUUUUAUAUUUCCUUUCUGAGAUAUACGUGGUCUGGCCGUCUGGACUGUAUAGCCUCGUCGACAGUUGUGGAAGGCUUGGCAAUAGCUGCUGCUCUGCGCAAACUAAAGAUUUUGCCUCCACAGAAUGUGGCUCUACUUACGGACUCAAAGGCCGCGUUACAACAACUCUACUGUAGUCUGCCUGCCAUCAAGUUCCCGCGCAAAUCACUAGCCCUCGUGAAAGAACUCGGCGCCAAAGGCUUCACAGUAAAGUUUCAGCGGAUUCCCUCCCACAUUGGUAUUGCUGGCAACAAAAAAGCUGAUGCUCUUGCAUACGCGGCGCUCUAUCGUCCUCCGAAAGUGAAGGCCCCAAAGAGUAAUCAAGCUAAAAAAUCUGACAUUGAAAUCACUUUGGGUCACUUUGGGUUCCAUCACAUAUGCCCUGCGUAACCAAGAGAUUUCGUCGAGAGGAAGCCUCAUUUCUAUAUCGAAUAAGGACAGGAUCUGCUAGUACGCUAGCAUGCAUGGUUAUUUAAGACGGGGGGGGUAUCAAUUCUUCGAACUGUAUGGCAUGCGACGAGACAGGAGACAUUGAACACUUUCUCUGGUCGUGCCCGAAGCUCCAAGAUGAAAGGGAUGCAUUUCUGGGGAAUCUUCAAAAAAAAAAAAAAAAAAAAAAAAAAGGAUCUUCCGCAUGCGUGCCUGCAACAUCUUGUGUUCCCCGAAGAAGCAGUUAUAGUCCGCAAAGAAACUUCACGCCUCCUUAUCGCAUUCUUAAUUAAGCGAGACUGGUUUGAUGGACAUGUGGUGAAACUCCGCAGUGAUAUUGUAAGAUACGCUCGGACGGCGCAAUUGCCGGCCUUGAUCGCCAGGCUAAACCCGCUGCUACAACCCACCACCACCACCCGAAUAAUGGAUGGCCUUCUCCGCCACACACUAUGUAUUGUCCCGCAGACCUUAGUGGAUCGAAGGAGCGGCAGAAUCCAGACAUGAAACUUUGGCGGAUCUAGGUUGAUGUUCGCGUCCAGUGUUGUUCUAUCGAUCCUAGAGGCUUGAACGAGCGGCAGAGUGCAGCCAUGAAAUUGCCGACCUAGAGGCUGAAAGGGAGCGGCUGAAUCCAGUCAUAAAUGCUGCCGGCCGCAGAGGCUCAACGGAGUGGUAGAAUUAAGUCAUGGAAUUUUCUCGGGUAUAUCUAGCUUGAUGUUUGCGUCCAGUGCUGAUACGUAGACCCUAUAGAGGCUUGAAGGAGUGCCGGAAUCCAGUCAGGAAACUGUACUGGAUCUAUAUCGCUUGGUGUUCGCGUCAUGUGUUCUCAUGCCGUUCUUAGAGGCUCGAGGGAGCUCAAAAUAACUCGUUCUCGGGCAAGUUGGUUGAUGCUUGGUGAAGCCAUUGUAGCGCAAAUUAAACAAGCACAAAGAACAGAAGUCCGGGAAAGCUCGCUGGCCUGUUCCCCCGCAUUUUAUGCGAAAACAAAGCGUGUACGUAUGCCGCAAGAAGCACACCAGGCAAUAUGUCAAAUGCGCAACUGGCGUGGUCUCACUGGUGCCGCUUGGGCGUGGGAAUGCUGGACGGGGCGUCCAGUUUGACCAGCAGCAUUAGUCUUAAGUGCUGCGUCGCGCCAAGAUGUCGCCCCCACGUAUGCUUUGAACACCGUCCGAGCAGCCCAAUCACAACGCUCAACUUUGCUGUCGCUGUCAGUGGUUCACCCGUCGGGCGAAACUGCCAGUUUCUGAAAUAAAUAACUAACUAACUAAAAAAUAUUCGUAGCACAGAAGCCUGAUACUGUGAUCAUUACGCCACGGACGCUUUUUCCCCACAACGGUGACUCAUAAUGAGAUCGUAGUUUUUGCAUGUAAAACCCCUGAAAUUAUUCAAAAUUAUUUACCACUUCGUCAUGUGUCAAAACGUGGGCCAAUCCCACAAAUAGUGCAGUCUAAAUCUGUGCGCCGAUACUGAAGAUAGCGAGAAAUUUGGGAGUCCGACGCUCCUCCCAAACCCCCUCACGCGAUAUAUAGUGCUGAGCACAGUGUCUCAGCCCCAACUCUCUCAGGUCUUUCAUCGAUUUCAGCUGGAGUUUUUUUUUUUUUUUUUUUUUUUUUUUUUUUU
Long non-coding RNA from Dermacentor silvarum, 3701 nucleotides. RefSeq lists it as uncharacterized. NCBI's taxonomy places the organism in Eukaryota, Metazoa, Arthropoda, Arachnida, Ixodida, Ixodidae. The record is from RefSeq and is a predicted model, not a curated record. The transcript is spliced from 2 exons.